RNAcentral lists this ribosomal RNA (402 nucleotides) under uncultured Hypotrichia. Its description in RNAcentral is "partial small subunit ribosomal RNA". It matches the Rfam family "Eukaryotic small subunit ribosomal RNA", at positions 30 to 432 of the family's 1831-position model. The record is from RNAcentral. Lineage: Eukaryota; Ciliophora; Spirotrichea.
GCUUGUCUCAAAGAUUAAGCCAUGCAUGUCUAAGUAUAAACUAUUUUAUACUGUGAAACUGCGAAUGGCUCAUUAAAUCAGUUAUAGUUUAUUUGAUGGUACCUUACUACUCGGAUAACCGUAGUAAUUCUAGAGCUAAUACAUGCUGGUUAGCCUGACUUCGCGGAAGGGCUGUAUUUAUUAGAUAACAAACCAAUAUUCCUUGUGUCUAUUGUGAUGACUCAUAAUAACUGAUCGAAUCGCAUGGACCUUGUCCGCGAUACAUCAUUCAAGUUUCUGCCCCAUCAGCUUUCGAUGGUAGUGUAUUGGACUACCAUGGCUUUAACGGGUAACGGAGGAUUAGGGUUCGAUUCCGGAGAGGGAGCCUGAGAAACGGCUACCACAUCUAAGGAAGGCAGCAGG